RNAcentral lists this ribosomal RNA (334 nucleotides) under uncultured Bacteroidota bacterium. Its description in RNAcentral is "bacterial SSU rRNA". It matches the Rfam family "Bacterial small subunit ribosomal RNA", at positions 28 to 351 of the family's 1533-position model. Lineage: Bacteria; Pseudomonadati; Bacteroidota. The record is from RNAcentral.
GAUGAACGCUAGCGGGAGGCUUAACACAUGCAAGUCGAGGGGCAGCACGAGUCCGCCGCAAGGCGGAUUUGGUGGCGACCGGCGCACGGGUGAGUAACGCGUAUGCAACCUACCCUGUACUGGGGGAUAACCCGGAGAAAUUCGGACUAAUACCCCAUAGAGAUAUAGAGAGGCAUCUUGAAAUAUUUAAAGUUUCGACGGUACGGGAUGGGCAUGCGUAACAUUAGCUAGUUGGUAAGGUAACGGCUUACCAAGGCUUUGAUGUUUAGGGGUCCUGAGAGGGUGAUCCCCCACACUGGUACUGAGACACGGACCAGACUCCUACGGGAGGCUG